Molecule: ribosomal RNA, 693 nt
Filed under: uncultured bacterium
Lineage: Bacteria
Description: bacterial SSU rRNA
Rfam family: Bacterial small subunit ribosomal RNA
Source: RNAcentral
AGCGGCGGACGGGUGAGUAACGCGUGAGCAACCUUUCCUUCACAGGGGGAUAACGCAGCGAAAGCUGUGCUAAUACCGCAUGAGACUACAGAGCUACAUGGCUUAGGAGUCAAAGGAGCAAUCCGGUGAAGGGUGGGCUCGCGUCUGAUUAGCUAGUUGGUGAGGUAACGGCCCACCAAGGCAACGAUCAGUAGCCGACCUGAGAGGGUGAUCGGCCACACUGGGACUGAGACACGGCCCAGACUCCUACGGGAGGCAGCAGUGGGGAAUAUUGGGCAAUGGGGGAAACCCUGACCCAGCAACGCCGCGUGAGGGAAGAAGGUUUUCGGAUUGUAAACCUCUGUCCUUGGUGAAGAGAAGAAGACGGUAGCCAAGGAGGAAGCCCCGGCUAACUACGUGCCAGCAGCCGCGGUAAUACGUAGGGGGCGAGCGUUGUCCGGAAUGAUUGGGCGUAAAGGGCGCGUAGGCGGCCUGUUAAGUCUGGAGUGAAAGUCCCGCUUUUAAGGUGGGAAUUGCUUUGGAAACUGGCGGGCUUGAGUGCAGGAGAGGUUAGUGGAAUUCCCGGUGUAGCGGUGAAAUGCGUAGAGAUCGGGAGGAACACCAGUGGCGAAGGCGACUAACUGGACUGUAACUGACGCUGAGGCGCGAAAGUGUGGGGAGCAAACAGGAUUAGAUACCCUGGUAGUCCACACG